RNAcentral lists this unclassified non-coding RNA (309 nucleotides) under Hevea brasiliensis (rubber tree). Lineage: Eukaryota; Viridiplantae; Streptophyta; Magnoliopsida; Malpighiales; Euphorbiaceae. The record is from RNAcentral.
GCAGUUGGCUUAGAACUUCAACCUGCAACGAAUCAAUGGAGAAUAUCACAAUAACAGCAAUAAAUUUGGGACUCCUUUCCCACAAACAAUUAGCAAUUUGGAAUUAAUUUGAAGUACCAUGGUCGUGGAAGUAAAGAAGUGAUAGUUGAGAAUAUCCAACCAGAAUUUUAUCAUAUGAUAAUAAAAAAAAUUUUAAGGAUUGCUUAGGAGUAAAGGGCUCAAGUGGAUGAAUUAGAGGUUUAACCAAUUGGUCAUUAAAAAAUUAAUUAAUAUAACAACUAAUUAAAAUAAAUAAAUCUAAUUAAUUAA